CCCAGGAAAAGAAGUCUGAGAUCUGAGAGCAUCGGGAGUACCAAUUCAUUAUCUCCAUUAUCUCGCUAGAUCCUCUUAAGAACCCAGUGAGAUGAGAGCAUCAACACUAUGCCUCUGCUGCAGUUUCUCCCUGGAACUUCCCUCAGCUCCUGGCACCUCCUCACCAUGAAACAUCCAUAUGCCAUGCCAAGCCCCUUCUCUGAUUGGGUGACAGUCGAGGUGUUGCCGAGAGAAGACUGCAGCCUGUCUGAGGCCCUGGGAUGUUGACCUCAGUGGAUGGAUGACCCCUGGAUGGGUAAAAAAACCUCUGGACUUGGAGUGAGAAGACCCAGGUUCUAAUCCUACUUCUGAUACUGUGUGGUCUUGAGCACAGUCCUUUAAAGUCUCUGAUAUUCAUUUUCUUUAUCAAGUGACGAAUUGGACUGGAUGACUUCUAAGGACCCUUCCGGCUUUGCCAUUUUAUGACCAUUUUGCUGGAAACUGCUUUUGUGUUGUUAGGCAGACAGCUGGAGUCUGGGGUGGGGAGAGGACCAACUCCUCUUGUUAUUUUCUGUUCUCAUCCCCCUUCUCCCUCUAAUGCCCCAGCUCUCUAUAAGAAGAACGAAAAGGCGAAAGAAAAUCAAUGCGGACGACUCUCAUUCUUCUGUUCUCCUGCCAAACUGCCGCUGCUGGCUCUGGCCAGGAGAGGUCAGCCUGGGGUUGGGAAUGUUGGAAUGGGGACUUCUGAGACUUAGGGUCUCAGGAACCCCAGGGUUGAGGGCAGGAACUAGAAAAGAUAGGAAACUGAAUGAGCACCAUGAAGAUGGGGUGAAGCCCAAGACUUCUUGUCCAAGGCCCUCGGGGAUCACUGGGUGAGUUUACCUGAGGACCGAACUGAAGAAUGAAAAUUAAAUUCAGUGAGUCAUCUAGAUGUUUUGUCUAGCAGACUGAACAUUCCAAUGCUAUUUUUUUGUAUGUGUUUUUUUUCCCCCUUUUCAUCUGGAUGUUGGCACAGAGAUGGUGAUGUAUUUAAGAGGUAGUGGUUAUGGUACGUGAAGGGAAGGAAACUUUAUCCCUAAGCAUACAGUCCACAUU
Phascolarctos cinereus (koala) is the source of this 1074-nucleotide non-coding RNA. Lineage: Eukaryota; Metazoa; Chordata; Mammalia; Diprotodontia; Phascolarctidae. The record is from RefSeq and is a predicted model, not a curated record.